RNAcentral lists this ribosomal RNA (260 nucleotides) under uncultured bacterium. RNAcentral describes it as "partial small subunit ribosomal RNA". It matches the Rfam family "Bacterial small subunit ribosomal RNA", at positions 26 to 285 of the family's 1533-position model. The record is from RNAcentral.
AGAAUCAACGCUGGCGGCGUGCCUAACACAUGCAAGUCGAACGAGAAAGGGGAGCAAUCCCUGAGUAAAGUGGCGACCGGGUGAGUAACACGUGACUAACCUACCCUCGAGUGUGGAAUAACAUCGGGAAACCGAUGCUAAUACCGCAUAACAUCGGCGCUUUUAAGAGAUGCCGAUCAAAGGAGCAAUCCGCUUGAGGAGGGGGUCGCGGCUGAUUAGUUAGUUGGCGGGGUAAUGGCCCACCAAGACGAUGAUCUGUA